Coffea arabica (coffee) is the source of this 1029-nucleotide long non-coding RNA. RefSeq lists it as uncharacterized. The record is from RefSeq and is a predicted model, not a curated record. NCBI's taxonomy places the organism in Eukaryota, Viridiplantae, Streptophyta, Magnoliopsida, Gentianales, Rubiaceae.
UUUGUGUCGGGUGUGAGGGAGGCGCAGAUAUGGGGAGCUCGGAGGAGAAGGUGGUAGCUGUUAUCAUGUCGGCGGACCCACUAAAGGCACUCGAUUUCGGCCACUUUCUUUUAAUACUCCCAAGCCUCUUUUCCCUUUGGCUGGCCAGCCCAUGGUUCACCAUCAUAUUUCUGCUUGGCAAAGGGUAUGCCUUUUGAUUGGUGUUUUUGAGUAAAAUUCCAUCCUGGAAAGGACUACUAGAAGAAGAAGAAGAUAUCCGUAUCUUUCCGUUGUGAUUCAGCAUUAGAAUUCGACCGUGCUGUUUGUGCAGAUCAAGAACUUGGCACAAAUAUUUCUGAUUGGUUUUUACGAGGAGAGAGAAUUUGCUUUAUACGUCUCUUCAAUCUCCAGUGAGCUUAGAGUCUCUGUCAUCAGAUAUUUGAAAGAAGACGAGCCUCAUGGUUCGGCGGGGGCCUUUAUUACUUCAGAGAUCUCAUCAUGGAAGAUUCUCCUUCCCAUAUCUUUUUGCUGAAUUGUGGUGUCUGUUGCAACUUUCCAUCGGCAGACAUGCUUGAAAUCAAGGUAUGAUCGAAUUGUAGCAUGAAAGUUGCAAUAUAUACCACACAGUUGUCUUGCACUCUAAUGUUGGAUGGCAGCCAUCUCUUGGGAAGUGGUCUCGUGUCCAGGCUGAAGGAGACUAUACAAUGCGAAGCUUGGAAUUACCAUGCUAGGGGAAGCUGUGACCGUUGAAGAUGAGGUUGUGGUGAUCAACUCCAUCGUUCUUCCUCACAAGACACUUAAUAUGAGCGUGCAGGAAGAAAUCAUUCUGUGAGAUAAUCAAGCUUUGGAAGGAUCAAAGCUUGGUCCCUGCUUCAGUGAUAUAAUCAUACAAGUGUAACAAACUUAACAGUACAUCACCAAUUUUUAUAAGAUGCCAUACAGGGAGAUGUUUAUCUAUAUGAUAUUACCAAAUCUAUCCAAUAUGGAACUGCAUGUAAAACUUUUAACCCUAGCAAAACUUCGGUUUAUGAUAUUCUGACUUUUGUAGAA